RNAcentral lists this ribosomal RNA (811 nucleotides) under uncultured crenarchaeote. RNAcentral's name for it is "bacterial SSU rRNA". It matches the Rfam family "Archaeal small subunit ribosomal RNA", at positions 54 to 871 of the family's 1478-position model. The record is from RNAcentral. Lineage: Archaea; Thermoproteati; Thermoproteota.
CGAGUCAUUGUAGCAAUACAAGGCAUACGGCUCAGUAACGCGUAGUCCACCUAACCUAUGGACGGGAAUAACCUCGGGAAACUGAGAAUAAUGCCCGAUAGAACAUUAUGCCUGGAAUGGUUUAUGUUCCAAAUGAUUUAUCGCCGUAGGAUGGGACUGCGGCCUAUCAGUUUGUUGGUGAGGUAAUGGCCCACCAAGACUAUUACAGGUACGGGCUCUGAGAGGAGUAGCCCGGAGAUGGGUACUGAGACACGGACCCAGGCCCUAUGGGGCGCAGCAGGCGAGAAAACUUUGCAAUGUGCGAAAGCACGACAAGGUUAAUCCGAGUGGUUUCUGCUAAAGAAACCUUUUGUCAGUCCUAGAAACACUGAUGAAUAAGGGGUGGGCAAGUUCUGGUGUCAGCCGCCGCGGUAAAACCAGCACCUCAAGUGGUCAGGAUGAUUAUUGGGCCUAAAGCAUCCGUAGCCGGCUCUGUAAGUUUUCGGUUAAAUCUGUACGCUCAACGUACAGGCUGCCGGGAAUACUGCAGAGCUAGGGAGUGGGAGAGGUAGACGGUACUCGGUAGGAAGGGGUAAAAUCCUUUGAUCUAUUGAUGACCACCUGUGGCGAAGGCGGUCUACCAGAACACGUCCGACGGUGAGGGAUGAAAGCUGGGGGAGCAAACCGGAUUAGAUACCCGGGUAGUCCCAGCUGUAAACUAUGCAAACUCAGUGAUGCAUUGGCUUGUGGCCAAUGCAGUGCUGCAGGGAAGCCGUUAAGUUUGCCGCCUGGGAAGUACGUACGCAAGUAUGAAACUCAAAUGAAUUGACGG